Molecule: non-coding RNA, 2486 nt
Organism: Gasterosteus aculeatus aculeatus (three-spined stickleback)
Lineage: Eukaryota; Metazoa; Chordata; Actinopteri; Perciformes; Gasterosteidae
Source: RefSeq, a predicted model, not a curated record
UUUUCCUUUCCAAAUCCUUAUUAGUUUCCUCUGUUUUCAUGACGGUGCAUUAAUGUAGAAUUACACCAUGAACGUUUACCUUUUGUAGUACUCCUCUUUGUUUCCUUAUUGCCCUGAAAAGAUAAGCCGAUGAUCAGUUUUACUGAUUGUGUGUAUCACAAUUCAGAUGUGCAAAUGUGAACACUCACUCAAAUGUAGAUUCAAAUAGCAUCAACAUUUGACUGUAAAAUGUUGAUGGAAAAGGCUCUUUUCCUCUCACCGUGUGUCCCACCAUUUCAGGGCAGGAGCUGAUGCUGGCUGUUUCCUGCUCGAGUCCCUGAGAUGUUCUCCCUGCGCGCUGCUUACCCGAGGCUGCCGUUGGGGACAGCCCCCCCUGUUGGCCGUGAUAUGAAGUCGAUCUCCCCACCACUUGCCGGUCAGAAAAGAACUCUUCCUGUCCCAUAGGCUGCUGGUGUAUCUCUGGACCGUGUACGGCUUUCCUGCAGCGACGAAAAACACAUUGAAACCAACGACAACACCAAUCAAAAAACAACUCACGAGCGGUGCGUUCUGGUGCUUUAAAAAAAAAAAGACGCCUGGCGGGGUAUGAGGUGAAAAUGAUCUGAAUUGACUUUUAAAGAGGUGAAAUAUGACAGUAGUCUAAAGUUUCUUUCCUAAAACUGGAUGUGACGGAGAUAUUUACGACCUCAAUGCACCAACUCCGCCUACUCCCUCCAUUCGUCAGAACACGGCUGCGACCCAUCAGCUCACACCGUCUGCUUUUGCGUCUCCAUCACUCUUUCUCCUCCCUUCUAUCAUUUUUUGUUUAUCACACUCCCCCUCGUUGGAGUCUUUCUUCAUCUCUCCCUGAACCUCACUCAUUUAUUCAUGUUUUUUCUCGUCUCUUCCACUUCUCUCAUUUCCAGUCAGCCGUGCGUUGUUGAAGUUGGAAUUUAUGGCGUUAGCAGGGUGAACUCAUCACAAACACACCGGGUCCUGGCACAUUCACGAGGUCAAAAGGGUUUGUGGGAGGCCUGCCCUAUUGAGUAAAUCUUUGCCUGUAAAGUGAGCCAACCUGCUCUGAGAUGCAAAGUAAUCCCACCUUUGAACUGACCUUCUUUUCAUUAGUCAUGUUGCAAAAAUGUAGAGAAUUGCGUUCAAGUCUGAACCAAAGCUUUUCAGGUUGCUGGUCAACUAAAGUUACUAUACAUGCUAAAUACAUUUCUUUAUCAAACAUUUUAGAUUUAAAAUCGACUAUUUAUUACAUCCGGGGUGCCCAAAACAGUGCCCAAAAGCGUCCGGUCGCCUACAAGGAGCUACAGACCUUUUAAAAUUGCCCAAUUUAACAGCACUUGCUUGAUCAAAGCGCCUUUUUUCCCGGAGGCCCGAUGCAUUAGAAGCUCAGCGUCUAUUUUGGGCUGAACUUCCAACUUUGGGUAAGCUGCGCAGGCACAAGCGAGACAUUUAAUCAUGUUGGAUUAGGGGCAGGAAAAAUACAUUAGGGUAGCGAGGGGCAUUUAGCAAAAAAGCUAAUUUAUGCUCUGAGAGUGACUGCUUAGUUGUACUCUCACCUGAAAGACAGGGACCUGACCGACGCUGCUACCCUGUCAAAUAUGGAGUGCCUCGGAUUCUCCUCGUCCUCUUCCUCCUCUGACCGCUCUUCUUCCUCCGUCUGAAAAGAAAUCAGCGGUAACACAAGAGGGGUCGUGCACACUGAACUGUGCGUGUAGUUGUGGGUGACAGCGGGGAAACGAGGCGGAUGUCAUGUGGAUUGUGAUAGCAGCUUUUUCCUCAGGUCUCCAUCCACUCACUCUGCACAAACAACACACACACACACACACACAGUGCGCUAAAGUCUUGCUAAGCGAAGGGCAUCGAGAAAGGGCAAUAAGGAGCUGAUUCCAAUCUCCUCAUGUGUUUCCUCACCCUGCGGCUGCAUCGAGAUUAACAUGGCAGUCACAAGGGGGUGUGAAAUGCUCAAUGUGCGUGUGUGUGUGCUCGUCUCACACUUGGUUUGUAAUUCAUUGUGUAGUUCAGAGAAGAACAACAGUCGCCAUAGUGACUACUAAGAGUGAGCGUUUAUGGAAACGGAUCCCGAGGGAGUUUUUAAACAGAACUCGAGGAGGGGAUUCUUGUGGAAGGAAAGCCGUAGGUUGCCUCGACAUAAACUGUGUAAGCAAUCCAGCUUCUGAAAUUUGACUUGGUGUUUCCACCCUGGGUGUAAUUAUCCAAAACUAAAACUACACGCUAGAACAUACGGUGUGUGUGCGUGUAACAAUAACGCUAUCGGCGGGGAAUCUCUUCUAAUGGCCACCGUUUUAGUAGGAGUUACAAGACGAAUGUCAGACCUGACAAAUGUUUGAGUCUCAGAGUGAGUCACUGUGCGUAUUCUCCUAAUCUUCUGUCAGAAUGGGGCCGUGGAGAUAUUGCGUGUGACACAUGGAUGAUGUAAUAAUUCAAACUGUUGAUUCAAUAUCCAGAUACGAUAAAGUGGAAAUAACACAUUC